This 217-nucleotide ribosomal RNA is filed under the name Pheidole boliviana. Its description in RNAcentral is "partial large subunit ribosomal RNA". Lineage: Eukaryota; Metazoa; Arthropoda; Insecta; Hymenoptera; Formicidae. The record is from RNAcentral.
GAAUUUUAUAUAAAUUUGUUUAAUUAGUUGGUUUGUUAGUACGUGAGAUAAAUUUAUAUUUGGUUGGGAGGAUAAUUAAAUUAGAAAAACUUUAUUUUUAAUUAAAUCAUUGAUAUAUGAAGGUUAAAUGAAUGGUUACUAAAUUUAAAAAGAAUUAAUUACCUUAGGGAUAACAGCGUUAUAUUUUUAGAAAGAUCAUAUUAAUAAAGAUGAUUGC